RNAcentral lists this ribosomal RNA (395 nucleotides) under uncultured bacterium. RNAcentral describes it as "bacterial SSU rRNA". It matches the Rfam family "Bacterial small subunit ribosomal RNA", at positions 28 to 418 of the family's 1533-position model. The record is from RNAcentral.
GACGAACGCUGGCGGCGUGCUUAACACAUGCAAGUGGAGCGACGAACCGGGGCUUGCCCCGGGGCAGAGCCGCGAACGGGUGAGUAACACGUGGGUAACCCACCCCGAUGACCGGGACAACCCGAGGAAACUCGGGCUAAUACCGGAUGUGCUCCUUGACCCCGAGGUCAAGGCGUAAAGAUAGCUUCGGCCUUCGCAUCGGGACGGGCCCGCGGCCCAUUAGCUUGUUGGUGGGGUAACGGCCUACCAAGGCGACGAUGGGAGCUGGUCUGAGAGGACGAUCAGCCACACUGGGACUGAGACACGGCCCAGACUCCUACGGGAGGCAGCAGUGGGGAAUCUUGCGCAAUGCGCGAAAGCGUGACGCAGCAACGCCGCGUGGGGAAGACGGCCUU